This is a long non-coding RNA of Dermochelys coriacea (leatherback sea turtle), 441 nucleotides long. RefSeq lists it as uncharacterized. NCBI's taxonomy places the organism in Eukaryota, Metazoa, Chordata, Testudines, Dermochelyidae. The transcript is spliced from 3 exons. The record is from RefSeq and is a predicted model, not a curated record.
UGCUAAUGAGCAAUGAAAGGCACUCAGCCCAAUCUGAGCCUGAACAUGCUGGUUCAAAGUCACCCCAGAUGUGUGUGUGACAUCAUUGACUACUGGGGGGUGCUUAGACCUUCCUCUGAAGCAUCUAGACCUGACAGGAAGCUGCUCUUGUUCUUAAGGCACUGGACAUGGGUCUAGGUUCAAUUCCUGGGUUGUCCAGAGACUCCUUGGGGGACCUUGUGGAAGUCACUCCAUUUCUUUGUUCCUCAUCUGAAAAACGGGGCUGAAGACAGUACUUCCUUCUCUGAAGAUGGUCUAAAGCUUCCAUGGUUAUCACUACAACUACAAUACCCACCUGCUGAAGUGAAGAAACAGAUUGACAGAGCCAGAAGAGUACCCAGAAGUCACCUACUACAGGACAGGCCCAACAAAGAAAAUAACAGAACGCCACUAGCCAUCACC